CGCCCGCCGCGCGCGGCGGGCGGGGCGGGGGCACGGGGGGCCUACGGGAGGCAGCAGUGGGGAAUUUUGGACAAUGGGCGGAAGCCUGAUCCAGCAAUGCCGCGUGUGUGAAGAAGGCCUUCGGGUUGUAAAGCACUUUUGUCCGGAAAGAAAUCCUUGGUCCUAAUAUGGCCGGGGGAUGACGGUACCGGAAGAAUAAGCACCGGCUAACUACGUGCCAGCAGCCGCGGUAAU
RNAcentral lists this ribosomal RNA (234 nucleotides) under uncultured Pseudomonadota bacterium. RNAcentral describes it as "uncultured proteobacterium partial 16S ribosomal RNA". It matches the Rfam family "Bacterial small subunit ribosomal RNA", at positions 284 to 524 of the family's 1533-position model. Lineage: Bacteria; Pseudomonadati; Pseudomonadota. The record is from RNAcentral.